This 235-nucleotide ribosomal RNA is filed under the name uncultured bacterium. RNAcentral describes it as "partial 16S ribosomal RNA". It matches the Rfam family "Bacterial small subunit ribosomal RNA", at positions 524 to 760 of the family's 1533-position model. The record is from RNAcentral.
UACGUAGGGUGCAAGCGUUAAUCGGAAUUACUGGGCGUAAAGCGUGCGCAGGCGGUUUUGUAAGUCUGUCGUGAAAUCCCCCGGGCUCAACCUGGGAAUUGCGAUGGAGACUGCAAGGCUGGAGUCUGGCAGAGGGGUAGAAUUCCACGUGUAGCAGUGAAAUGCGUAGAGAUGUGGAGGAACACCGAUGGCGAAGGCAGCCCCCGGGUCAAGACUGACGCUCAUGCACGAAAGC